AUGCCGCGGGAAACAUCGUGGAUGCCCCAGCGACCGGACGAUGCUCCAUUGCAGCGCCAGACCCUGCCCACCAAGCCGGCGCCCAAGGCCCCGGCUCCGGUACCGGCAUCCGCCGGCGGCCACAACAACGUCAUUUCUGCCCUGGCGUACAACAUCGUCGACGGCAUCACUUGGGGCGCCGGCAACGCCAUGGGCCACAGGUUCGUCGAGUUCUUUGCCGGACCCCGCACCAUCCAGGUCGCCUCCUCCGAGCCCCAGGCAGCCACUCAGGCUGGACGGUCAGGUAGCAAAACUGGUCGGUCCGGGCUGCAAUAUUGGGCCCGAGAAAAUUGCCUAAACCACUCCCAGAGCGACAUCAGCCGGUGCCAGUUCUACCUCGACUUGCUCAACCAGUGCCGCCGCGGCUCCAGCAACGCCGGCCUCGCCGCCGCAACCACCAUCGCUUAG
Molecule: ribosomal RNA, 447 nt
Filed under: Triticum aestivum (bread wheat)
Lineage: Eukaryota; Viridiplantae; Streptophyta; Magnoliopsida; Poales; Poaceae
Description: partial small subunit ribosomal RNA
Source: RNAcentral